This 254-nucleotide ribosomal RNA is filed under the name uncultured bacterium. RNAcentral's name for it is "partial 16S ribosomal RNA". It matches the Rfam family "Bacterial small subunit ribosomal RNA", at positions 524 to 776 of the family's 1533-position model. The record is from RNAcentral.
UACGGGGGGAGCAAGCGUUGUUCGGAUUUACUGGGCGUAAAGGGCGCGUAGGCGGUCAGUGCAAGUCAGUUGUGAAAUCUCCGGGCUUAACUCGGAAAGGUCAACUGAUACUGCUCGACUAGAGUGCGGAAGGGGCAACUGGAAUUCCUGGUGUAGCGGUGAAAUGCGCAGAUAUCAGGAAGAACACCUAUGGCGAAAGCAGCUCUCUGGGACGGUACUGACGCUGAGACGCGAAAGCGUGGGGAGCGAACAGG